AUGAUUGUGAUGAGGACAGUCUCUGAGUAGCCCCUUGAACCUUUCCCAAGCUGAGUAUAAAGAUUCUCCCGCUUUCUGUUUGAAGGCCACUAUCUCACUUCUGAUCUU
Molecule: non-coding RNA, 108 nt
Organism: Nicotiana sylvestris (wood tobacco)
Lineage: Eukaryota; Viridiplantae; Streptophyta; Magnoliopsida; Solanales; Solanaceae
Source: Rfam